RNAcentral lists this long non-coding RNA (501 nucleotides) under Homo sapiens (human). Its description in RNAcentral is "HSALNT0156947". Lineage: Eukaryota; Metazoa; Chordata; Mammalia; Primates; Hominidae. The record is from RNAcentral.
GGAAGCAGGUACAUCUUUACAUGGCCAGCAGGAGAGAGAAUGAAAGGGUCAUACUUUUCUGUGUCUUUGGACGUCCAGUGACUUUUGGGCAGGACGUUGUUGAUGACGGCAGCCCUGCAUCUACUGUCACCCUCUAAACAGCACUGACUUUUGUUCUGGGAUGAAUUCUGCCCUCCCAAAAUUCCUGCGUUGAAGCCCCAGAUCCCAUGGUCACUGUUUCAGGAGAUGGGACUCUUAGGAGACAAUCGAGAUUAAGUGAGGUCAAAGGGAGUGGCCCUAAUUUAACAGGCUGAUGUCCUUAUUAGGAGAAAAAGAGGCACCCAGAGAGCGCUCCCUGCCAGGUGAGGACACAGCGAGGGGCUGCCUUCUGCGAAUGGGCAGGAAGCCCUCACCAGAAACUGCACUUUCCGGCACCUUAAUCUUGGACUUCCACCCUCCAGAACGGUUACUCCCGCUCAAGGUGAGGAACAAGCCCUCCACCCGCUUCGGGGCCGUCAGCAC